RNAcentral lists this ribosomal RNA (211 nucleotides) under uncultured Lactobacillus sp. Its description in RNAcentral is "partial 16S ribosomal RNA". It matches the Rfam family "Bacterial small subunit ribosomal RNA", at positions 152 to 354 of the family's 1533-position model. The record is from RNAcentral. Lineage: Bacteria; Bacillati; Bacillota; Bacilli; Lactobacillales; Lactobacillaceae.
GGAAACAGAUAGCUAAUACCGGAUAACAACAGAUGAUGCCUAUCAACUGUUUAAAAGAUGGUUCUGCUAUCACUCUUGGAUGGACCUGCGGUGCAUUAGCUAGUUGGUAGGGUAACGGCCUACCAAGGCGAUGAUGCAUAGCCGAGUUGAGAGACUGAUCGGCCACAUUGGGACUGAGACACGGCCCAAACUCCUACGGGAGGCAGCAGAU